RNAcentral lists this ribosomal RNA (502 nucleotides) under uncultured Glomeromycotina. Its description in RNAcentral is "partial small subunit ribosomal RNA". It matches the Rfam family "Eukaryotic small subunit ribosomal RNA", at positions 591 to 1092 of the family's 1831-position model. Lineage: Eukaryota; Fungi; Glomeromycota. The record is from RNAcentral.
CCAAUAGCGUAUAUUAAUGUUGUUGCGGUUAAAAAGCUCGUAGUUGAAUUUCGGGAUUGGGAUAUAUCGGUCGUGCCUUUAGGGGCAUGAAUCAGUGUGUGGCCAAUUCUCACUUUCUGGUGAAUUGGGAUGCUCUCGGGUGUUUCAAUGAACUAGGACUUUUACUUUGAAAAAAUUAGAGUGUUUAAAGCGGGCAUUUUUGCUUGAAUACGUUAGCAUGGAAUAAUAAAAUAGGACGAUGGUUCUAUUUUGUUGGUUUUAGGACCACGUAAUGAUUAAUAGGGAUAGUUGGGGGCAUUAGUAUUCAAUUGUCAGAGGUGAAAUUCUUGGAUUUAUUGAGGACUAACUACUGCGAAAGCAUUUGCCAAGGAUGUUUUCAUUAAUCAAGAACGAAAGUUAGGGGAUCAAAGACGAUUUAUGUACGUCGUAGUCUUAACCAUAAACUAUGCCGACUAGGAAUCAGACAAAGUUAAUUUUUUAACGACUUGUUUGGUACCUUACG